AAUUUUGGCCAAUGGGGGAAACCCUGAUCUAGCCAUCCCGCGUGUGCGCUCAACGCCUUCGGGUUGUAAAGCACUUUUGUCAGGGAAGAAAAGGUCCUGGCUAAUACCCGGAACUGAUGACGGUACCUGAAGAAUAAGCACCGGCUAACUACGUGCCAUCAGCCGCGGUAAUACGUAGGGUGCAAGCGUUAAUCGGAAUUACUGGGCGUAAAGAGGGCAAAGGCGGUUCGGAAAGAAGGAUGUGAAAUCCCAGGGCUCAACCUUGGAACUGCAUUCUUAACUACCGAACUAGAGUAUGUCAGAGGGGGGUAGAAUUCCGCGUGUAGCAGUGAAAUGCGUAGAUAUGCGGAGGAAUACCGAUGGCGAAGGCAGCCCCCUGGGCCGAUACUGACGCUCAUGCACGAAAGCGUGGGUAGCAAGCAGG
This 424-nucleotide ribosomal RNA is filed under the name uncultured bacterium. RNAcentral describes it as "partial 16S ribosomal RNA". It matches the Rfam family "Bacterial small subunit ribosomal RNA", at positions 360 to 776 of the family's 1533-position model. The record is from RNAcentral.